GUCGAACGGAAAGGCCCUUCGGGGUACUCGAGUGGCGAACGGGUGAGUAACACGUGGGUGAUCUGCCCUGCACUUUGGGAUAAGCCUGGGAAACUGGGUCUAAUACCGAAUAUGAUCAUCGGCUUCAUGGUCGGUGGUGGAAAGCUUUUGCGGUGUGGGAUGGGCCCGCGGCCUAUCAGCUUGUUGGUGGGGUAAUGGCCUACCAAGGCGACGACGGGUAGCCGGCCUGAGAGGGUGACCGGCCACACUGGGACUGAGAUACGGCCCAGACUCCUACGGGAGGCAGCAGUGGGGAAUAUUGCACAAUGGGCGCAAGCCUGAUGCAGCGACGCCGCGUGAGGGAUGACGGCCUUCGGGUUGUAAACCUCUUUCAGCACAGACGAAGCGCAAGUGACGGUAUGUGCAGAAGAAGGACCGGCCAACUACGUGCCAGCAGCCGCGGUAAUACGUAGGGUCCGAGCGUUGUCCGGAAUUACUGGGCGUAAAGAGCUCGUAGGUGGUUUGUCGCGUUGUUCGUGAAAACUCACAGCUUAACUGUGGGCGUGCGGGCGAUACGGGCAGACUAGAGUACUGCAGGGGAGACUGGAAUUCCUGGUGUAGCGGUGGAAUGCGCAGAUAUCAGGAGGAACACCGGUGGCGAAGGCGGGUCUCUGGGCAGUAACUGACGCUGAGGAGCGAAAGCGUGGGGAGCGAACAGGAUUAGAUACCCUGGUAGUCCACGCCGUAAACGGUGGGUACUAGGUGUGGGUUUCCUUCCUUGGGAUCCGUGCCGUAGCUAACGCAUUAAGUACCCCGCCUGGGGAGUACGGCCGCAAGGCUAAAACUCAAAGGAAUUGACGGGGGCCCGCACAAGCGGCGGAGCAUGUGGAUUAAUUCGAUGCAACGCGAAGAACCUUACCUGGGUUUGACAUGCACAGGACGCUGGUAGAGAUAUCAGUUCCCUUGUGGCCUGUGUGCAGGUG
RNAcentral lists this ribosomal RNA (962 nucleotides) under Mycolicibacterium neoaurum. RNAcentral describes it as "bacterial SSU rRNA". It matches the Rfam family "Bacterial small subunit ribosomal RNA", at positions 61 to 1040 of the family's 1533-position model. Lineage: Bacteria; Bacillati; Actinomycetota; Actinomycetes; Mycobacteriales; Mycobacteriaceae. The record is from RNAcentral.